RNAcentral lists this ribosomal RNA (305 nucleotides) under uncultured bacterium. RNAcentral describes it as "bacterial SSU rRNA". It matches the Rfam family "Bacterial small subunit ribosomal RNA", at positions 335 to 638 of the family's 1533-position model. The record is from RNAcentral.
GUCCUACGGGAGGCAGCAGUAGGGAAUCUUCCACAAUGGGCGGAAGCCUGAACCAGCCAAGUCGCGUGAGGGAAUAAGGCCCUACGGGUCGUAAACCUCUUUUGCCGGGGAGCAAGGGCGGGGACGUGUCCCGGCCCGGAGAGUACCCGGAGAAAAAGCAUCGGCUAACUCCGUGCCAGCAGCCGCGGUAAUACGGAGGAUGCGAGCGUUAUCCGGAUUUAUUGGGUUUAAAGGGUGCGUAGGCGGGCUUUUAAGUCAGCGGUAAAAAUUCGGGGCUCAACCCCGUCCGGUCGUUGAAACGGGGG